UUUUUGGAGAGUUUGAUCCUGGCUCAGGACGAACGCUGGCGGCGUGCCUAAUACAUGCAAGUCGAGCGCACAGAAGGGAGCUUGCUCCCGGAAGUGAGCGGCGGAUGGGUGAGUAACACGUGGGCAA
RNAcentral lists this ribosomal RNA (127 nucleotides) under Sporolactobacillus shoreae. RNAcentral's name for it is "Bacterial small subunit ribosomal RNA". It matches the Rfam family "Bacterial small subunit ribosomal RNA", at positions 1 to 124 of the family's 1533-position model. Lineage: Bacteria; Bacillati; Bacillota; Bacilli; Caryophanales; Sporolactobacillaceae. The record is from Rfam by way of RNAcentral.